Molecule: non-coding RNA, 71 nt
Organism: Schistocerca gregaria
Lineage: Eukaryota; Metazoa; Arthropoda; Insecta; Orthoptera; Acrididae
Source: the annotation of a RefSeq genome assembly
UCCUCGAUGGCUCAAUCGGACAGAGCGUCUGCCUUGUGAGCAGAUCCCGGGUUCGAGUCCCGGUCGGGGCA